GGGAGGACUGCCCCCCACCAUAGCUCCAGUCCCAAGACCCCCAAGACAGAGACCCCUUUGUCAGCCAGGCCAAGAACUCUGAAGGAGGACUGCCCCCCAUAGUUCCAGUCCCAGGACCCCCAAGCUACAGACCCCUCUGACAGGCAGGUCAUCAACUUUGAGGGAAGACUGAACCCCAUAGCUCCAGUACCAGUACUCCCAAGCCAGAGAACCCUCUGUUAGCCAGAUAAGCACCAUCACCAGUGGCAGGUACUCACAUGAAGAAGCAGGACAGAUCUUCACCAUCAGGACUCUGGGGCAGAAACCUCCUGGCUAGAGGCUUGAAGCUCUCCCAGCAUCAGAAGUUGUAAUAAACACUCCUGAGGUUGCAGUUGUCGCCCAAUGAAGCCAUAGCCUGGGAAGUGUCCAGAAAUGAGCAUGCUAUGGAGAAAGGGAAAGAAGUGGAUGAAGGAGCUGAAAAGGCUGGUCGCAGUAGCCUGGGUCAUGGAUAAUGAUCCUUUUCAUGAAAAUGUUCAACAAUUGAGUGAAGACCCAGAAGUAACCAGGAAUGAACAAGGUUUCAGCUUGGGUAAAGUUGUGUG
Long non-coding RNA from Tupaia belangeri chinensis (Chinese tree shrew), 581 nucleotides. RefSeq lists it as uncharacterized. The transcript has 5 exons. The record is from RefSeq and is a predicted model, not a curated record. Lineage: Eukaryota; Metazoa; Chordata; Mammalia; Scandentia; Tupaiidae.